AUCCGCUUCUCAGUUCUCUCUGGCCUACUUACUCUUUAGUCAUGACAGCUCAUGCUGCUGGACCGUUGCACUUCUGUUCUCUGUCCCAUUCACUGUUAUUCCACUGCAUGGUCUGCUUUCUAACUUCCAUCAGAUACCUAUCAGAGGUCAACUUACCAGGAGUUACUUCCGGGAUGACUUAUCUGAGUGCUCUGCACAGACACUGGCUCUUAAGAACUGGGGUUAAUUUUUAUUCUUAGCACUUGCCAUCAACUGAAUGGUAAAACAUUUAUUUUCCUUAUUUAUUAUCCCUUUGUGAAUAUAUUUAUUAAAAGUUUUUAUUUACAAUUCUAAUCCCAGGCACUUAGAGCAUAAACCUCAUCCUUGCCAUUCCUAAAUGUUAAUUAAAUGAAUAAAUAAAUGAAUUGAAGUAACUCACCAAUAAAGGCUACUCCGAAAACAAUUUUAAAUAGAAAAAUUUUUUUUUAAUUUUUUAUUUAUAUAUAUAUAUAUGUAUGCCUGAGUGUAUUUAUGUGUAUCUCAUGCAGGCAGGAAGCCAGUGAGGUUAGAAAAGACCAUUGGGUCCCCUGAAAGAAAAGUUACAGGGAACUGUAAAGCACCAUGUGGGUGCUAAGAACUGAACCUGGGUCUUCUGCAAGAGCAACAAGUGCUUGUAACUGCUGAGCCAGCUCUCACUUCCUUUUCCUGGUUCUUUCUUUAUUACUGAACAUUUCAAGGGCUUAGGUUUUAUAUCUUGGGGCUUGGUUUAUUUUUUUAAGGCUAGUGUACACUAUGUCUCUUCAUGGCAUCCUCCCAUGAGCAGUUAUUAUACUGACGCCUCUGGUCACCAUUCUUCUCCAGUGCUCUCUCCUAUCCUCUGGUAGGAGCAAUGCUCGGGCCUCCUCUACAUGCUAGGCAACCUUUUACCACUAAAGAGAUAACCCCAGCUCAGGUUUAUUAGUUCUGAUGUCAAGUCUUUGUUAUCAUAGCCUUGACUGGCCUGAAAUUCAAUAUAUAGACCAGAAUAGUCUCAAACUUCUAGAGAUCUGCCUGCCUCUGCCCCCUGAGUGCUGAGAUUAAAGGUGUGUACCACCUCACCUAGCAUUGGGAGGUUUUUGUUGUUGUUUUAAUAUUUCUACUUUGGAAUAUCUUAGCUAAUAAGUAAGGACAGAAUUUAGAAUGGUGCUCCCAGAAAUCCUGGUACUCAGAAAACUAAGGCAGGAGAAUAUAGCACUUCCAGCCAGUGUGGGCUACAUAGUGAGAUCAUGUCAUAGUCGAAAAUGUUAAGAAUGGCUGGUUAGAGACCCUUUUUAUUCCUAAUUUUAUUUAUAUUUCUCCUUUUUCUUAAAUUUAUAGCAACAUUGCAUCUUAUUUUUUCAAAACAUUCCCUUACAUCAGUAUUCAUUAAUUUUUGUUUUCCUUUCUUUUUUUUUUUUUUUUUUUUUAAAGAUUUAUUUAUUUAUUUAUUUAUUAUAUGUAAGUACACUGUAGCUGUCCUCAGACACUCCAGAAGAGGGAGUCAGAUCUCGUUACAGAUGGUUGUGAGCCACCAUGUGGUUGCUGGGAUUUGAACUCCUGACCUUCGGAAGAGCAGUCGGGUGCUCUUACCCACUGAGCCAUCUCACCAGCCCUGUUUUCCUUUCUUUUCUUCCCUUUUCCUUACAACUGUUUUUCCUAUUUGUGAUCCAUCUUCCAUGCUCAUUUUCUAUUAGUUUAUAUAUGUCUAGGUUUUAUGGUUUUGAAUAUGCCAUCACUAGUACUUUGGCUGCAUUCUAACCCAUUUAAAAAUGUAUUAUUCUACUGAUCCUUUUCUAAACAAUUUUUAUCUUGCAGGGUUUUUUUUUUCUUUAAUUAUUUCCACAUUAGAUUUUUUUAAGUGUGCCCUAAUAACACUUAGUCUUUUAUUUAUUUUUUUUAAUUAUUUUUUUUCCAAGCAGUCAGUGUAGUUUGAGCAAGCAGAGAGCAGGAACAUCUCGUGUAGAACAGAGCAGGCAUGCUGGGCAUGAUUAACUACACUAAAAAUGCCUUAAUUUUAUUUUGUGUAUGUGUGUGCAGUGUGGCGGACACGGGCACGCCACACUGCACGCACUGUCACAACCCUCGAGAGGUCGUCCUUUACUUCCACCUGAGUCCCAGGGCUCAGAAUGAGGUCAGCAGGCUUGCUUAGCAAGGGCUUUUCUUUUACCUGCUCAGCUACACUUUACCUUUCCACACUUAAUCUUUUUUAAAGUCUUUUGAAUUUUAAAAAAGAAGUUGAUUUAUAAAACUUAGCCUUUAGGCCUAGGGAGAUUGCUCUGCCCACAAGAUGACACAUGCUUGUAACAACAGCACUGGGGAACUGGAGACAGGAAGCCUGCUGCUUGGUGAUCCCAAGGCCAGUGACAGAUUUUUUUUCAUGUUUCUUGUGUGUCACUGUUUGCCUAUCUCUUGGAGUGGUUUCUCUUUCCAUCAUUUAUUAGGAUUCUUUCUCUAUCAGCAACUUUGUCUUGAGGGCUCCACCUCUGGUACUUUUCAGGACAGAGAAAAUGAACCAUCAGCACCAAGCAUGGAAAAGGGAAAGAAUGUGAAAUAAAAUUGAGACAACAUCUAAUUAAAAUUUUGUUUUAAACAAAAGAUUUAGUCAGACUACAAAAUAAAGACCAUGGGCCCAUAAGAUGAUUUAGCAGGUAAAGGCACUUCAGGACCUGAGCGGUACCCCUAAGACCACUGAGUGGGUAAAGAGAACUGACUACCACAAGUUGUCCUCUGACCACCAUACAUACCGUGGUAUGCUUGCACCCACACACACCUAUAAAAUGUUAUUAAAAAUUACCUUUUACUUUUUAAAAAAUGUAGCUCUGUUGGUAGUCAUUGCCUAACAGCCACAGAACCCCAGCAUUGCACACAAGUGAGUGUGGUGGCAUUCUUCUGUAAUCCCAGCACACUUCUAUGGCGCAGGGUCAUCCAGAACUCUGGAAAAUCUUCAUCCAGCAUCGAUUAUGGAGUUCCUGUAUUAGAUGUUACCCAGAUUUAGGGUGGUUGUCUCACUUCAAAUGAUCCAGUCAGAUCACUCACAGGUAUGCCUAGCUGCUUGGGGUUUGGUUGGUUCCAGAUAUAGUCAAGUUGACAACCAAGAUGAGGAGCCAUCAAGUCCCCUUCUAGCCUUCUCCAACCUCUGACUGCUCCCUGAGACUCUGAGCAGUUAGGGCAAACUUGCAAAUGGCUUGCAAAGGGCAGGCUAGAGUCCAUUGAUUCUCGCACACCCUCCUUCUAGGAGGCUGUGUCAACAGUCCACAGUUGGGAUCCUUCAGCCAUCGUAAGCACACCAAGCAGAGCUCAUAAAGAUGCAACAGUUGUGACUUGUAUGCCCCAGUGAACUCCCCAAGCCCCUAUUCCAUGGGUCAGAGAGUUGAGGUAGCAAACACAAUGUUGAGUUCUGCACCGAGGGAGGAAAACCAAGAGCACCAGGCAGUUCUCUGCUGGUUUUAACACUGACACUUUUAGACCCCACCCAGUAAUAAACCAUAUAUAUAUCUGCCAGGAGAGAUCAGUGCUCUCAUUAUCCCUUGCAGCAACCACUUGGCUCUAGAGGCCAAGCAGUCCCCUGUAUACCAGCUCAGAGUUCUCUAUUGAUGCAGUCACUCACAGGUAUUAGGGUGCGUUCCUUUCUAUGGAGAGUAGAGCACCAACAGCUGUACCCCUGUGCCUUUCAUAGCUGGCACUUAACUCAUAUGGUCAUCAUCUGACCCCACUCUCUCCUGACUGUUUCCAACCUAGACAUUGUUGCAGGGUGGUUUUCAGAUCCCCAGGGUAUCUCCAAUCC
This 3781-nucleotide long non-coding RNA is filed under the name Mus musculus (house mouse). RNAcentral describes it as "long non-coding RNA chr11:75106797-75110578". The record is from RNAcentral. Lineage: Eukaryota; Metazoa; Chordata; Mammalia; Rodentia; Muridae.